RNAcentral lists this transfer RNA (65 nucleotides) under Equus caballus (horse). Its description in RNAcentral is "tRNA-Pro". Lineage: Eukaryota; Metazoa; Chordata; Mammalia; Perissodactyla; Equidae. The record is from RNAcentral.
CAAGGAAUAGUUUAGUAGAAUUUCAGCUUUGGGUGUUGAUGGUGGAGCUAGAGCUUCUUCCUUGA